RNAcentral lists this ribosomal RNA (323 nucleotides) under uncultured eukaryote. RNAcentral describes it as "partial 18S ribosomal RNA". It matches the Rfam family "Eukaryotic small subunit ribosomal RNA", at positions 1470 to 1796 of the family's 1831-position model. The record is from RNAcentral.
CCCUUAGAUGUUCUGGGCUGCACGCGUGCUACACUGAUAUUGCCAAUAUGUCAUUCUUAUCCGAAAUGGAUUGGGUAAUCAAGUAAUGAAAUUUCAUGCUUGGAAUCGGUAAUUGCAAUUUUAUCGUGAACGAGGAAUUCCUAGUAAGCACUAGUCAUCAGCUAAUGUUGAUUAUGCCCCUGCCCUUUGUACACACCGCCCGUCGCUACUACUGAUUGGGUGUUCAAGUGAGAUGCUUAGACCCUUGUUGCAUGGUUCAUUAUUGUGCUCCGAAAGGAAAAAGUUUCAAGCUUGAGUGUCUAGAGGAAGUAAAAGUCGUAACA